GUCUAUGGCCCUGCCACCACAAGCCAGAUGUCUGAUCUUGGAAGCUAAACAGAGUCUGGCCUAGUUAGUAUUUGGAUGGGAAACCUCCUAGGAAGACUAGGUGCUGUAGGCA
This 112-nucleotide ribosomal RNA is filed under the name Pteropus alecto (black flying fox). Lineage: Eukaryota; Metazoa; Chordata; Mammalia; Chiroptera; Pteropodidae. The record is from RNAcentral.